RNAcentral lists this ribosomal RNA (472 nucleotides) under uncultured bacterium. RNAcentral describes it as "bacterial SSU rRNA". It matches the Rfam family "Bacterial small subunit ribosomal RNA", at positions 355 to 825 of the family's 1533-position model. The record is from RNAcentral.
UGAGGAAUUAUGCGCAAUGGACGAAAGUCUGACGCUGCGACGUCGCGUGGGUGGUGAAGGUCUUCGGAUCGUAAAACCCUGUCGAGAGGGAAGAAAGAGCGGGCGCUAAUAUCGCCUACUUCUGACGGUACCUCUGGAGGAAGCCCCGGCUAACUCUGUGCCAGCAGCCGCGGUAAUACAGAGGGGGCAAGCGUUGUUCGGAAUUACUGGGCGUAAAGCGCGUGUAGGCGGGUCGUUAAGUUGGGGGUGAAAUCCCGAGGCUCAACCUCGGAACUGCCUUCAAAACUGGCGACCUGGACUCAAGCAGAGGCAAGUGGAAUUGCGAGUGUAGAGGUGAAAUUCGUAGAUAUUCGCAGGAACACCAGUGGCGAAGGCGACUUGCUGGGCUUGUAGUGACGCUGAGACGCGAAAGCGUGGGGAGCAAACAGGAUUAGAUACCCCCGUAGUCCCUGAGCGGGCUGGCAAGGCGCAU